GUGAACGCUGGCGGUAGGCCUAACACAUGCAAGUCGAACGUCAGCACAGUAAGAGCUUGCUCUUACGGGUGGCGAGUGGCGGACGGGUGAGGAAUACAUCGGAAUCUACUUUUUCGUGGGGGAUAACGUAGGGAAACUUACGCUAAUACCGCAUACGACCUACGGGUGAAAGCAGGGGAUCUUCGGACCUUGCGCGAUUGAAUGAGCCGAUGUCGGAUUAGCUAGUUGGCGGGGUAAAGGCCCACCAAGGCGACGAUCCGUAGCUGGUCUGAGAGGAUGAUCAGCCACACUGGAACUGAGACACGGUCCAGACUCCUACGGGAGGCAGCAGUGGGGAAUAUUGGACAAUGGGCGCAAGCCUGAUCCAGCCAUACCGCGUGGGUGAAGAAGGCCUUCGGGUUGUAAAGCCCUUUUGUUGGGAAAGAAAAGCAGCAGGUUAAUACCCCGCUGUUCUGACGGUACCCAAAGAAUAAGCACCGGCUAACUUCGUG
This 491-nucleotide ribosomal RNA is filed under the name uncultured bacterium. RNAcentral's name for it is "partial 16S ribosomal RNA". It matches the Rfam family "Bacterial small subunit ribosomal RNA", at positions 29 to 507 of the family's 1533-position model. The record is from RNAcentral.